GACGAACGCUGGCGGCGUGCUUAACACAUGCAAGUCGAACGGAAAGGCCCUGCUUUUGUGGGGUGCUCGAGUGGCGAACGGGUGAGUAACACGUGAGUAACCUGCCCUUGACUUUGGGAUAACUUCAGGAAACUGGGGCUAAUACCGGAUAGGAGCUCCUGCUGCAUGGUGGGGGUUGGAAAGUUUCGGCGGUUGGGGAUGGACUCGCGGCUUAUCAGCUUGUUGGUGGGGUAGUGGCUUACCAAGGCUUUGACGGGUAGCCGGCCUGAGAGGGUGACCGGCCACAUUGGGACUGAGAUACGGCCCAGACGCCUACGGGAGGCAGCAGGGGGGAAUAUGGCACAAUGGGCGGAAGCCUGAUGCAGCAACGCCGCGUGCGGGAUGACGGCCUUCGGGUUGUAAACCGCUUUCGCCUGCGACGAAGCGUGAGUGACGGUAAUGGGUAAAGAAGCACCGGCUAACUACGUG
RNAcentral lists this ribosomal RNA (468 nucleotides) under uncultured bacterium. RNAcentral's name for it is "partial 16S ribosomal RNA". It matches the Rfam family "Bacterial small subunit ribosomal RNA", at positions 28 to 507 of the family's 1533-position model. The record is from RNAcentral.